This 322-nucleotide ribosomal RNA is filed under the name uncultured eukaryote. RNAcentral's name for it is "partial 18S ribosomal RNA". It matches the Rfam family "Eukaryotic small subunit ribosomal RNA", at positions 1470 to 1796 of the family's 1831-position model. The record is from RNAcentral.
CCCUUAGAUGUUCUGGGCCCCACGCGUGCUACACUGAGUGGAUCAGCGGGUCAGGUUGCGCGAAAGUGUUUCCUAAUCUUUAAAUCCGCUCGUGAUGGGGAUUGACGGUUGCAAUUUUCCGUCAUGAACGAGGAAUACCUUGUAAGCGCGGGUCAUCAUCCCGCGCUGAAUACGUCCCUGCCCUUUGUACACACCGCCCGUCGCUCCUACCGAUUGAGUGGUCCGGUGAGGCUUUGGGAUCUGAGCGGAAAGAGCGUUUCGCUGUUUCUGCCCGGAAAACUCAGUCGAACCUUAUCAUUUAGAGGAAGGAGAAGUCGUAACA